UCCUAGGCUACGUGUCUCUGCCCUCUCAAA
This 30-nucleotide non-coding RNA is filed under the name Rattus norvegicus (Norway rat). The record is from RNAcentral. Lineage: Eukaryota; Metazoa; Chordata; Mammalia; Rodentia; Muridae.